This 263-nucleotide ribosomal RNA is filed under the name uncultured bacterium. RNAcentral describes it as "partial 16S ribosomal RNA". It matches the Rfam family "Bacterial small subunit ribosomal RNA", at positions 28 to 285 of the family's 1533-position model. The record is from RNAcentral.
GAUGAACGCUAGCGACAGGCUUAACACAUGCAAGUCGAGGGGCAGCUACGGGUAGCAAUACCGGGUGGCGACCGGCGCACGGGUGAGUAACGCGUAUGCAACUUACCUAUCAGAGGGGGAUAACCCGGCGAAAGUCGGACUAAUACCGCAUGAAGCAGGGGCCCCGCAUGGGGAUAUUUGCUAAAGAUUCAUCGCUGAUAGAUAGGCAUGCGUUCCAUUAGGCAGUUGGCGGGGUAACGGCCCACCAAACCGACGAUGGGAUA